RNAcentral lists this ribosomal RNA (253 nucleotides) under uncultured bacterium. RNAcentral's name for it is "partial 16S ribosomal RNA". It matches the Rfam family "Bacterial small subunit ribosomal RNA", at positions 524 to 776 of the family's 1533-position model. The record is from RNAcentral.
UACGAAGGGGGCUAGCGUUGCUCGGAAUUACUGGGCGUAAAGGGCGCGUAGGCGGCACUGUUAGUCAGGCGUGAAAGUCCUGGGCUCAACCUGGGAACUGCGCUUGAUACGGCAGAGCUAGAGGAUGGAAGAGGCUCGCGGAAUUCCCAGUGUAGAGGUGAAAUUCGUAGAUAUUGGGAAGAACACCGGUGGCGAAGGCGGCCACCUGGACGGUAACUGACGCUGAGACGCGAAAGCGUGGGGAGCAAACAGG